This 428-nucleotide unclassified non-coding RNA is filed under the name Hevea brasiliensis (rubber tree). The record is from RNAcentral. Lineage: Eukaryota; Viridiplantae; Streptophyta; Magnoliopsida; Malpighiales; Euphorbiaceae.
UCUUCUCGGCGGCACCAUUAGACAGCACUAACAAUAUCAAUAUCAAGAUCAAUACCAACGCCACCAAUACCAACCCUAACACUCAAUUCUUUGAUAAUGGACACUCCAAGAUUAUCACAUACCAAACGGUGUUGCAUAGAACAAGCAGCCCAAUCCAGGCCUGCCCAGACGACGAAACCAAACGAAAUUGAGCAACAACAGAAAGGAACAGCACUUACCCGUGAGGUGGAGAUUGUAGAAUUAUUGAGGAGAAUGAGAUGGCUUUCUGCAAGCUUUAUGGAGGAGGAUUUUCUCGGAAAAAUUCAGAGAGAAAGUGAGGGAAUUUGUGAGAAAGUGAUAUAUGGGAUUACUGCUUGGAAGUUGGAAAUGAAAAUGAAUUUUUCUUUUCCUUCCGUACAGUCCAACAGAUUAAAAAAAAAAGGGAAGGG